CCCCCUGCUGGGCCGGGCGGAAUCCUGGGUCUCCCGGCAGCCUCGCACUCUGACGCCCAGGCUGCACGCCAUGAAGGGCUCCAUCCUGCAGUUCCUGACAUUCCUCAGCCUGGCGGCCCUGCCAGUGUCAGGAACAUGGAAGGAGAGAGUUCAUCCUGAAAUUGAAUUUCCAGAUUACAUUUUAUCAAGGCCGAAACUGAGUUCCUGUGCGAAGGUUCCCACCGAGCAGCAGUGCCGCACCUUCUGCAAGCUGCCCGUGGAGUGCCGCAGCGGCCACUACUGCUGUACCGCCCUCUGCGGAAACAUCUGCAUGCGUCUGGAGUAAACGAAGGAAGCCGGACUACAGACUGAGCAACAUGCUGUCCAGUGCUGAGCCUUAAACCACCAGUGAGAGUCGAGACUCCUGGAAGUUCUUGGAAGAGCACUGAUGACCUGCCGUGGGACCAUCUUCCUCCCAGGAGCGUGGGAGUGUGCCCAGGGCCAUGUCUCCUCCGCCUGCUGCCCCACCUCCCUGAGCUAUUGUAUUAGCAGCCCCGGCUCCAUGCUUGCCAAACAAGCUUGAGCACUAGCCCAGGGCCUCGGCUUCUUUUUCUGUAGUCCCAGAGUUUUCGCUGUCCCAGCUCUCUAACCCUAGCCCAACUUUCGCCCACGCCCUCAGCCCCUGCCUUCCA
Non-coding RNA from Oryctolagus cuniculus (rabbit), 671 nucleotides. The record is from RefSeq and is a predicted model, not a curated record. Lineage: Eukaryota; Metazoa; Chordata; Mammalia; Lagomorpha; Leporidae.